This 304-nucleotide ribosomal RNA is filed under the name uncultured bacterium. RNAcentral's name for it is "partial 16S ribosomal RNA". It matches the Rfam family "Bacterial small subunit ribosomal RNA", at positions 506 to 807 of the family's 1533-position model. The record is from RNAcentral.
CAGCAGCAGCCGCGGUAAUACAGAGGGUGCGAGCGUUAAUCGGAUUUACUGGGCGUAAAGCGUGCGUAGGCGGCUUCUUAAGUCGGAUGUGAAAUCCCUGAGCUUAACUUAGGAAUUGCAUUCGAUACUGGGAAGCUAGAGUAUGGGAGAGGAUGGUAGAAUUCCAGGUGUAGCGGUGAAAUGCGUAGAGAACUGGAGGAAUACCGAUGGCGAAGGCAGCCAUCUGGCCUAAUACUGACGCUGAGGUACGAAAGCAUGGGGAGCAAACAGGAUUAGAUACCCCUGUAGUCCCUGUCUCUUAUAC